This 88-nucleotide transfer RNA is filed under the name Chloroflexota bacterium. RNAcentral describes it as "Chloroflexi bacterium (groundwater metagenome) tRNA-Ser". It matches the Rfam family "tRNA". From Rfam's summary of the family: Transfer RNA (tRNA) molecules are approximately 80 nucleotides in length. Their secondary structure includes four short double-helical elements and three loops (D, anti-codon, and T loops). Lineage: Bacteria; Bacillati; Chloroflexota. The record is from RNAcentral.
GGAGGGGUGGCCGAGCGGUCUAUGGCGGCGGUCUUGAAAACCGCUAUCCCGCAAGGGAUCGUGGGUUCGAAUCCCACCCCCUCCGCCA